GACCGUAGCAUCCGUGGCACUAACUCAGAGGCGUCCUGUUGCCUUAGUAACCGCAGAAGCUCUCCGCCCGAGGUCGCUGUCCCGCGGGGCGGCGAGCCCUGUGCCGCCCCGGGCUUGCGGGGACACAAACCCCAGUUCCUUCAGGAAAUCUUUCCAGAGCGAUGAGGAGAGACGGGAUAGCUUCGAUUGCCUCAUUUCUGUCAGCAAGGGGGAGCCCUCGCUUUUAGUCUUUAUCCUAAAGUACUUUUAUUUGUCAACGUUAAGGUAAAAGGCCACUUGCCUUGACAUGGGCGUAAGAAAUACUUUUAUUUUACAGGUGACUGUAAUUGUUUAAAAUUAGUCAACUGUGAAAACAUUGGCAGUCAACCUUUCACUUCCGAACUACCUUUUCUAUGAGAAAAACGUGUUCCCUGCUUGCUCUUUAUAUGCUUGCUAGACGCGUGUUUUGUUAUCUGGGUGCCCCGUGUGUUUCUCCUCACGCAGAUGACAUCAUGAAUCCCUGCUACAUUCUGAAAUUUUCAGAUACGUUAACAGAUGCAGAAAGAGGCGCUCCGAGUGGAGUUGGCCACCGUUAGGGAUGUUCUCCACCAUCUCAUUCCUAAUCGCCUUGGUUUAAAGGACUCUUUGGGUUGCAAACAGCAGUUAAAAGACAAGUCAAACUAACUCAACUCUGCCCUCCUCCUGGUUGGCUGCAAUUUUGUCUGUGUUGGCAAGACGGCUGCCAGCACAGACCUGAAGAGAUGUGAGUAACUGGAGUGGCUUAAAUAAUUUGGAAUUAGUUUGCGAAGUCUUAUGUCUGAGCCUUGGUUUCCUCAUCUGUAAAAUGACAACAAUAAUACCUCAUCCACAGAGUUUUAUGUGAGUAUUUAGUGAGCUCAUGAAGGUGUGUAUCUCUGUAAUUAGGUACAUGGGAUUUGGAGUCACAUCUUGCUCCAUCACUUAUUAAAUUACUUGUGAAAAGUGAGGAUACUUAGAAUACCUGUAUCAUAGUGUUAUUGGGGUUUAAAAUGAUAGAGUGUACGUAAAACCUCGAAUAGGGUGCUUGGUACGUAGACCUGCUCAAUAAACGGUAGCUAUUAUUUGAGUAGAAUUUUGAAAAGUGACUAUUCAUGGUUUGAAUGAAAAGGUAAACUCAGGCAUGGAAAAUGGCAGGCAAAGGGCAUGGACAGUGAUUCAUAAAGGGGCAGUUUGGGGUGGGGACAGCAAGCUUGGGCAGUGCCCGGGUGUAGAAUGUGGCUCUUGCUCCUUGUAUCAAACUAUGAUAAAAAGAUAGACACCGAGAGAUGGUCUGAGGAAGAGCCUGUCACCCGACCUGGAGGUCAGCACCUUGGGAGGUUCCAUUAGGGAUCCCGUGAUUUUGGAGAUAUUCUUUUUACAGAAUUACAGAGUCUAGUUUAGUGCUUUAUUUUUGAUCAGUGUUUGUUGCCCUGACUUGAAUUGCCUUCAGAGUCAGAGAUGGUCUUCUUAAUGCCUUCAAUGGUGGCAAAUCUUCCUUUUAUGAGAGCAGAUUCUGUAAUGCAGGGCCAAAUCUAGUGAAUAAGGUGAGGAAUUAAGCUGACUAACAACUAAACUAACUAAACGGGUGCGAUUAUUCUUUUCUCUGACUUUUGAAAAUGUUUUCAUUUGUAUCAUUUAAAAAAAUCAGUUUCAAAAUAUCAUAUUUUACCCAUGGAAGAUGUCAACUUAAAUUAUGGAGUAUAUGCUACAUACCAGGCAUGAUAUUAAGUGAUUAAUAAACAUUUCUUGUUGGAGGACCCAUUGUCUGUGGGGAGAGAGAACAGAAGAUCAGUCAUCAUAAGGCAGUGAGAUAAGACUUGUGGAGUUUGUUCAGGUUCUGUGAGCAGUCAUAGGCUGUGGGUAUGAGUGAGG
This 1869-nucleotide long non-coding RNA is filed under the name Equus caballus (horse). RNAcentral's name for it is "lncRNA (ENSECAG00000057667.1)". Lineage: Eukaryota; Metazoa; Chordata; Mammalia; Perissodactyla; Equidae. The record is from RNAcentral.